AGGUGUGCUGGGAAAGACAUCCAACCUCUAUCCAUGCCUUCCAUAUGGGAUGGGACUCACCGAGGCAGUGGGAGGUUGCAGCACAGUGCUCAGUGCCGGCCUUGGGGUUGUAAUUAAUAGUGGGAGACGCUGAUUAAUAAUUGGAGGUGGUAUAAAGGGGAUACCUGGACUGGGAUGAAGCUGAGGGGUCUCUCGGAGCGCGGCGUUGCCAUAGGGAUCCAACAGCUUCUCCGUCAGAGCCUCCGGCGAGAGCAGUUAAUCCAUUUUUAAGAGGAAAGGAUAUUUAAUAAAGGGAGCCAUUUAAACUGGAUUUACAAGGCACACUGAAUGGAGGCCCCAUUUAUUCCGUGACUUCAUAUUUAAUUUUAAUAUCUCUAUAAACCUCUCCAGAGUGUUCUGCACAAACAAGCCGGAGCCAGAGCGGUUCGACCGCCCAGUGAUUCUUAAAAGCAAAUCAAUUUAACAGGGCUGGAAAAAACCUGCCUCUCCAGGAAUAUUCUUCUGCUCUCGGAAGGAGCACCGGAAUAGCUGUAUUAGAAAACAACAAACAAGCUCUUCUGAUGGAGAGGGAUUUUUGAAAGGAUAUGGUGCAAAGCGGGGUUGGGAGCCCCCACAGCAAGGCGGGUUGUUGGGAGUUUGCUUUGUUGCUCUGUUUUCUCUGCACUCAUAAAUAAUGUAAUUAAUAAUCAUAUAACUUCAUCAAUAAUCCAGUUUUUUCUGCAGCCGUGCUCGCUGCUAUUCCCGUGCUGCUGCCUGAGCAGGGAUGCAGUGACUGUAAAAGUCCAUACAAGAGCUGGGAUAGGGACGAUGGCACCUGGCAGCAUUUAGCACUCUAUAAAUGAGAAAAGGACAGGAAGGCAGCCAGAUUGCCCACAAGGAAGCAGUUUGUGGCUGUUCCCAGAGCAUUUCUGCUUCCCACACUGGGAAUGUCAUGGUUUUGGAAGAAUCAAGUUCUCUGGGAAGAGCUGGUGAGAAAACUCCCUUCUCCCUCUGCAACAGGUAAACUCUCCUGCUCCUCAGCACCUGGCCCAGGGCACAGAGCAAAUUCCCUGGGUUUCCUUUGUCUCUGGAACAUCUCGGUUUCAUUUCUUUUUAAUAUGUAGAGAUUGUGCUGCACAAAGCUGCUCUGAUUUCUCCUCCAUCUUUUGGGUGGUCCCUGAACCCGGAUUUAAGGAGCAGAGCAGGUGCCCUUUGCCACCACAUCCCAGUCAGCCUGUGCAGUGCUUUGUGCUCUCAGAUCACAGAAUGUUCCCUCACCUCCACUUAAUCCCUUUUUCCCUCUCUUUUUCCUUCUACACAAAUGACCCCCCUAGCAGGAAACAGCGUCCUCUGCUGCCCUGGGUCACAGAGAUGGAUUUCUCAAGGAGCAGACUCUGGACUGCUCAGAGUGAGGGUGAUUUAGCAUCAGAUGUUUCUCCCUGUCCCAGGCUGGGGAAUGUUUCUCCCUAUCACAGCCAAAGAUCCAUGAUUGGGAUUGGAUUCAUAGCACAUCAGAUAAUUAGUUAGUCUAUAAAAAGGGAAUUACAUGGCAUUUUAACGAGCACGGUUGAAUUUUGUUCUCGCCUCCCUGUGAGAUGAAGGCUGAGACUCCCCAUGGGAAUUGAUUUCCUCAUGGGACCUCCCUGUCUUAGGAAUAUGAUGUCCCAAAAGCGGCCCCACAGGUACAUGUGGGUCUGGAAACCAGGAUCCAGGCAGGCAGCAGUCCCCCAUUUCCAGGGACAGACCCUUGCUCUAAUAUUUGAGCAAAUUUUGUCAUUUAACUUUCCCAAUUAGUUUUCUUCUAAAAUCUGGAAAUAAUGCAACUUCUUUUUUAAAUUGAUGGAGAGGGGGAAAAACCAUUUUCAUCACUCUUUAACAGAAAGCCUCAGUCUUCUAUGGUCCAGAGCAAGAGGAGGCACAAAUGGACUGAUUUAUUUCAUUCUUCCUGAUGUUUAUUUUAAAUUAAUCCUGUUGGGACAGAUGUCAGGCCAGAAUUCUUGCUGGAGUCACUUAUGUUCUUUGAUCUAAUUAACAAUGGCUCAUGUCUUAUAAUAACUCAUUUUUCUAAUAAUGAAUUUUUCAUGAGUGAUGGGAUUCACUUGCUUUUGCUCUUUGCCUUCCCCUACAUCCUGUGUUUCCUCUCUCAUUUUUCUUCCUUUCAUUUUCCAAACCACCUUGGAUGCUGAUACAUUUCAGGCUUGAAAUCUCUGGAAAUAACUUUCCAAAUACGCUGCAUUUAGAGAAAAUUUCAGGUUAAUUCUACAUGUUUAUUCAUUAAAGCACCAGUAGGAUCCUGCUGUGCACACACAGGGAAUUUAACACAGAAAAACAAAUGGAGUGUGUACAUAAGUGUGUGUCAGUAAUAAUAAAAUAGGAAUGAUGCUGCUGUGAUUCAUUGACCCAGGAUUUCCGACUGGAAUUUACAGUGGGCUUGAGGAUAAACCCUCAGACUUUCCUUGGGAAGUGCCCCUGGAAUACUCGGGAAAAUGCUUUUAGGGAUUACACAGCAAUUUAAAUAACAUGCUGCCUAUGAUGGCCUGAAGGCACAAAACCUCCCGUUCCUAUAAAAUCCAGGUUACAAAUGGAAAAUCCUAUCAAGAAGAAUAAGAAAAAGACCAGAAUGUUGAGAAGUUUUUCCCAGUACCACAACUGAAGAUUGCACCUGAUGAUCUUGAAGGUUUUUUCCAAAUUCUGGGAUUCUGCAAGUCGGCCAGCCUGGACUCCACACACACAGAUGGCACCAUUCCUCCGAUGUCUGACUGUCCCCUCCAGGAUAAAUUUAUCCGUGUUUCCAGCCAGAUCCCCACUCUUGUUCAGCUUAUCCCCACAACUUCCCAGCACCCAUCCACCGUCACUCUCCAAUAUCCCAGUCAGACGCUUUCCCUGGGGCAAAGCACGUCCUUCGCAGGCCAUUAUCACUGCUAGCACACGGAAGGAUGUUACAAACCUCAACAGGGUUCAGUCAAAUGGGUCCUUAUCGGUCCCAUUGCCCUGGGGACAACGAUUGCUGAUGUCAGGGACGAGAUGCUGCAGGUUUUGGAGCAGAUUCAGUCCUCGUCCUGCUGCCUGCGAAACCACAGAAACAUUAAUUGCCUACAAAUUCCAGCAGGAACUUCACACACACAGAGUCAGGACUUCAUUACAGCCCCGCAGGAGCCGCCUGGGAGCCUCGGGAAACUCCGUGUAAAGAGCAGCAGAUAGAGCUGGAACGAGUUAAGAGACUUGGAGACUCUCCUGCGACACAGGUCUGGGAGCUGUGUGUGAUUUAAUGUGUGUUUGUGCUGGUGGCAAAACCCCGGCUGGCUGCGGGGAUGUGUGUGUGUGCAUCCAUCCAGCAGCUCUGGGCUCAGAGCGAUCGCAGGGAUCGGGGAUGGCUCAGCGGGAGCAUGAAGGGUGCACUGGGAGCUCUGGUUGUUACUGGCUUCACACUGGAUACGCUCAGCCUGGCUGUGUGUCAACCUGAUUUUUGGGGGGGAGAUCUGGGAGUAGGAGAACUGGGCGAGCUCCGCCGGAGCCGCUGUCCCCGUUGCGCUGGCGCCUGCGGUAUUCCUGCCCUCGCUGCGACCUCCGGCCCGGCUGGGGUGUGUGACCCCCCUCGCUGCCCGGGGGGAUGCGGAUCCAUGCGGAUCCAUGCGGGGUCUGCCUGCCCGCAGCCUCCGCUGCCGGCACCGGGAUGCGCUCCGGCUCGCUCCCUGCCUGCUCAGCCCACAUCCAGCGGGGAAGAGCUGGCACGGGCUCUGCCGCUUCUCCUGGCGCUAAGGAGCGGAGCCUGCCCGGGAGGCUCCCUUCAGGAGCGAUUCCACAGCAGGGAAAGCAGAACGGAGCUCAGCGGGAGGAGCUGAGUGCGGAUCUGAGCUCGGAGUUAAGGCACUGAGCUCAGAGCAAGGUCUUUGCGAGUCCAGCCAAGUGCAUAUCAAUGAAUUUAGAGCCAGAUGCGUCAGCACAAAGUUUUCCUUGAAAACAGUGAUUUUUGUGUUUGUCCAUCUCCUUGGAAUUACUCAGUGUAUUCAUCCAGAGUGUUUGACUUUGUUUAAAAAGGCUUUUCCCCCAGAGAUAAGAAACUCCGCCUCGGUAGCGAGCUGAUUGUGGAGCGGCUUCUGUGCUUAUCCCCUUGGAUAAGAGGCUUUAUUAUACCAAAUUACAGGAUAAUCUCUGGACACACAGCCACAGCAUCCGAUCUCUCCUCCUUUGCUUGUUUUACUUUUUGAUCCAGAGCUGUUCAAACCAAUCCAGGGGGUCUCCUCUGAUAGGAAUCACCGUCCUGUUUGUUGUCUGGGAAGCUGGCAUCAGCCCAAACUGAUGUUUUUUCAAGAAACCUUCUUUCUCUUGCUCAGCUUUUCCAGAGGCCUCACCCGUUUGUCCUUUUUGCAGUUCUUCAGACCAAAAUAAAUAUCUGAUCUCACCCCAAAGGCCAGCAGAGCCUUGGCAGGGCAUUUGUGAUGACAUCAGUGUCCAGCCUCACUCCAAGCUGGAAGGACAGGGGCAUCCCUCAAUCUUUCUUUCCAGCCCCUCUGGGAACUCGCCUUUUCCUUGUCACACUGAUACAUAUUCCUGAUUUCUGACAGCCAAGAGCAGCGCCAACACAUGGAGAAGGGACACACUGGAGGCGAGCGCAUACCAGGACACAAGGAAAUGGGAUGAAAAGCAGCAAAAUGGGCUCCUAAUUGCUGUGGCAAAGUGAUUUUGGAGCUGGCAACUUCCUGGGAUUCCUCUCUUAAUUUUCUUUCCCCAUUUUUAAGUUUUCUUCAGGAUUUUAAGAAGGGCGUGGAGCCACAUCCAAGCCCGCUGUUGGGGUGUUUCUCCAGGGUGGAAUAAAUCAGGAGGAGAUUCCAGAGCUGACAGCAGGCGCUGGAGUGCUGGUGCCACCAAAUUCAGCAGAGCUGCCCCACGUCCGGGAUCCCAAAGGAACUGAAGCUGGAAUCCCAUCUCAGGUCACAGGCAGGAGUUUCCUGUCUCACUUAUAUCCAACCUCUUCUUUGUGUCCAGGAAUCUUCCAGCAAAUCUUAAGGUGAUUUUGAGCCAAGAAGCUUGAGGAAUUUGCUUUAUACCUCUCCAAAGUGCUAAUGGGAGCCACAGAAUCCUUGCUGAGCCAUGAGAGGGACUAAAAUAAAUCUCCAUCAGGGUUUAUCCAUGAGCUGCAGAGCUCUUUGGUGAGCCCCAGAAUCAGUGAGGAAACUGCACCUUUCAGUGGCUCUGCCAGGGCCGCAGGACGGCAGCAGAUUCCUGGCGCUGGCAGAGGAUGCAGCAGGGAGCCCAAGUGUGCGAGCAGCAGGAAUCACCCUCCGCUCGCUGCCUUCAGACAAUUCCGUGUAAAAACCGCUCUAAACAAGCCUCGCAAUAGCAAGGGUGAGCCCUGCAGCACAUCUUUGAAGACUGAGGGAUGAGCACCAGUAAACCUGUCUGGAUAUUCCCAGGUGUUGCUUCGGGCUCAGGGUGGCCCAGGAGGUGAUGGUUCCUGAUGAGCUGAGAAGGACCAGGCUGUGCUUUGGGUGCAGGACAAAGGGCCUCAUCAUCUGCAGCCAUGGGAGAAACCUGGAUGGGGACCAAAUAAUGGGAAUAAUACCUUGCUUGUAGGUAAACUCUUUCAAAUAAUCAUCUCUUGAGUGCUUUUGAGAGAACAUCACUGGAAUAAAUUAUAUUAUCUGCCCCAAUUAUAUUAUCUGCCCCUUAAAGCUGUAAACACCUGAACAGGCUAACCAAUAUUUUCCCUUCCUGGGCUGUGUCCUGGCAGAUGGGAGGGCUACAGGCACCAAAUCCUGGUAGAGAAGAGGGUCACAGAAUGGAAUUGUUUAGGUUGGAAAAGAUCUUUAGGAUCAUCGAGUCCAACUGUUAUCAACCCUCUUUCAGCCAACAAGAGAGUCUGGAGGAAGAAACAGCCUCAGGGAGAAUAUUGUGCAAAGCUCUUAAUAAUUGAGGAUGAUUUAACAAAAAUAUCCCCUUUAUACCUCUUGGUUCCUGGGAGAAAAGCUUCGAGCAGUUUCCUGAGGAAAGCUCUGCAGAAUCAGCCUUCAAACAUGUUUUCCUCCCUCAUUUAUCUGAUUAAUUUACUUUCAUUAAGAAAACCAACCGUGUUCUCCUCUAUAUAUCCAGUUUCUGUGAAUCACAGACUGCAGCUCCAGGAUUUCUGUGUUUAUUCUCAGAAGUCACUCAGCUUUUAGCUCACUCUCCCAAAAUAGUUUUCCCUUUUCCUGCAGGUAAUUUGGGGAAUCAGCAAAACAUCUAAACAGGGGGAUCUGAGGGUGGAGAUUUUCUCUCCCAGUGCUCAAUUACUGCAAAUUCUAGUCUAGUCUGGAAACAUGGAAGAGGAAACCUCAUCCUCUUUGAGGAUCAGUUCUCCAGGAUGGGUAUAGGGAUUUUAAAUGAUCCUGCAGGUAAAUGCAGGGAUGGGAAUGAGAGGGUGGUAGAGUUGGAGGGAAAAAAGGCUAAGAAAAGUAAUUUAGGGAAACCUAAGAUGGAGUAAUUGAGAUUGUGAUGGGACAAAAUUAAGAAAGAAGGAAUCAACACCAGCAGUGACAGUACAAGGGGAAAUUACUUCAGUCAGACAGAGGGCAGAGUUAAAUGGGAUACUGGGAAGAAAUUCUUGGCUGUGAGGAUGGUGAGGCCCUGGCACAGGUUGUCCAGAGAAGCUGUGGCUGCUCCGUGCCUGGAAGUGUCCAAGACCAGGUUGUUUGGGGCUUGGAGCAACCUGGUCCAGCACUAAUGCCAGCCUGACCCCCGAGGAUCUGCCACUGCCCAGGACUGGGACAGAGCCAAUCAAUCCAGGCUGGCAUCGUCCUGGGAUGUGGCUGAGCUGCAGUCAAGGGUUUUGUGGGAUUCACAUAAACACACACACACAGCCCAAGCUCUUGAAGCCUUUAUUACAGGAAGGACAAACAGGGACCUUCUGCCUUGCUUGGCUCCUCUGGGAUGAGCAGCCCAGGCCCAGGGGAGCUGCAGGAAGCUGAGGAGGGAGCUGCUCUGUGGGAACACGACAGAGGUCACUGGCACUGCCUUGGAUGGGUCCCUGUCUCUGCUGGUCACCCCACAGAAGAUGACGAGUCCUUCUAGGGCCACCAUGAGGGCCUGAGCCAGAAGCUUCUGGGGCAGAACAGCCUGGCACUGGGAUUCCCACCUCCACUGCAGGACCCUGAACGUGGACAUACACCAAGCUGAACUUCCCUGGCAGCAGAAUUUAAGACAUCGUUCCCAGCAGACUCAUCACAUGAGAUCUUUCCAGUCCUGCUUGGCCAUGAAGAGCAGUGAUGACUUCAUGGAUGUGCCCAGCUGCAUCUGCACCUUUGGCUGGAGAAACUGGGAUGGCCCUGUCUGGUUGUGGGGGUGGCUCCUCCAGCAGGCCAAGCAGGUUAUGAAAGUCAAACCCAUUCCAAAGCAGCCACGUGCCCCCACCUGCACCUGCUGAAUGCACAUUGUCCUACAUUGUCCCUUCACCAGUAAGCUACAAUUUUAAAGGAUAAAUGCACAGCAAUUUCAUGGCUCCCUGUGCAAGUCGACCUCUUCCCGUGGCACAAAGUGCUGCCUGUUGCUUAGGAACAAUCUGUAUCCUACAAAAUGAAGACGUGCGCUCUCCAAAGAGUUUUUUACACAAUGGGUGCUUGCCUUGCUCAGACACCGACCCACCUCCUGCACAAAGCACGGGGUGAAGUCUUUGUGCUCCAAAUGCAGCAUGGACACCUACUACACCCAGCCAUGAUUCGGGAUAUAGGGAUGUGGCCUAGCCAUGGUUUGGGAUGUAGGGCUGUGCAAACCCCAUCCCUCAGCUAAGGUAACCUGGACUGCAAAGCUAUCUUGUCCGAGGCCCCGGUGGGAGCGUCUGCCAGGGUGGAGCAGGUGUUGAAGCGGGAAGCCUUGCAGGACAUGCUCCUGGAGCUCUGCUUCUUGCGGUAGAAGUAGCUGCUGAGGUGGAACCAGAACUUGUCGUGGAGGGAGGCGUAGAUGAAGGGGUUGUAGCAGGCAGAGCUCAUGGCGAUCAGGUGGCACGAGACCUGGAUGACGUUGACGUACCUCUUGUCCAGGAUGGUGAACUCCUCGUCGAUGUCCCGGAUGAAGUUGACCACCUGCAGCGGCAGCCAGCAGACGGCGAAGCAGACCACGGAGAUGGUGAGCACCCGGAAGGUCUUGUGCUUGGUCCUGGCCCACUUGUCCUGGCAGUGAUAGGCGGCGCCCGGCACGUUCCUCCUGCGCAGGUGGUAGGUGAUGGCACAGAAGGAGAUGGACACGGCCAGCAGCG
Molecule: long non-coding RNA, 8206 nt
Organism: Passer domesticus (house sparrow)
Lineage: Eukaryota; Metazoa; Chordata; Aves; Passeriformes; Passeridae
Exons: 9
Source: RefSeq, a predicted model, not a curated record